Molecule: long non-coding RNA, 755 nt
Organism: Homarus americanus (American lobster)
Lineage: Eukaryota; Metazoa; Arthropoda; Malacostraca; Decapoda; Nephropidae
Exons: 3
Source: RefSeq, a predicted model, not a curated record
AGGUUGGUCUGGUCUGUGUUGGGUGUGUAUAUAAGGCGGAGCACCUCCCAUUUCCCUCAUUGUGUGCCUGUCGUUCUCAUCACUUUAGUACAGGAUGAUGAAACUCUGGUUAGUGGUGUGUGUGGUGGGUGGGUGGCAAGUGUCCCUGGGGGCGGGGCAACUGCCUUGUCUGGCUGAUCCAAUUCAACCUGAUUGCGUUGCCUUCUGCCCAAAUAAUUAUAAUGGUGAAUACUUCUGCUGCGACACCAAUGGCAACAAUCCAGGGCAGUGUCCAAAAUACAGUUUAACCGCCGACGAGAGGUCCUUGCUGUGUGACCCCACUCAACACAACUACCCCUAUCACCUCAACUGUAAGAGUGACACUGACUGUUUCGCGUGGGAGAAGUGCUGCUACCUCCCACAAAACAACCAGCGCAUCUGUCGUAGCAGUGUAUAGGUACUUUGAAGUCCUGCAAUUGUCAAUCACUACGUGCCAGCCAACACCACCAAAUAACCGCCAGAAUAAGAUGUCAUUACCAGAAGAACUGUUUGCACCAUCGGAAUUUUAAUUAUAUUUUAUUAUUAGAAUCAUUCAUUUCGUAACUUCCAUAAAUGUCUAUACAGAUGAUCAUCACAGUUCAAACUAAUUCCUGUAACCAACCAUCAAAACAUUUAUAUAAGUUUAUAAUAAUAAUCGUAAAUAACUAUGUUCCUCCUCUUAUACAUUGUACAUGACAGAAAGUUGUUUAAAAUAAAUGUUGAUGUUGCUCCUAAAA